This 240-nucleotide unclassified non-coding RNA is filed under the name soil metagenome. RNAcentral describes it as "partial contains 5.8S ribosomal RNA, internal transcribed spacer 2, and large subunit ribosomal RNA". The record is from RNAcentral.
AACAAGGCGUACCUGCGGACCUGCGGAGGGAUCAUUACCGAGUGUGAACCCCCCCGUAAAAAAGAGGGGUUACCUCCCGUCCUUUGCUGGGAACCCCUUUCCAACUCGGAAGGAGGUUGUUUUCAGACCCUUCUGCUUCGGUGGGGUAACCCACCGGAACAACCUCAAAAAUAUUCUCAAUUCAAAACCGUUCAGUCCGAGAACUUUUUUGAAAAGCGAAAAAACUUUCAACAACGGAUC